Long non-coding RNA from Larimichthys crocea (large yellow croaker), 1397 nucleotides. RefSeq lists it as uncharacterized. The record is from RefSeq and is a predicted model, not a curated record. Lineage: Eukaryota; Metazoa; Chordata; Actinopteri; Sciaenidae. The transcript is spliced from 3 exons.
GAAAGUGUAUGUUUUAGAAAGAGAUUACCUUGAUUCACUAGUCUCACAAAGUAACAGUUUAAGGCAUUUAAAAAUGGCUACCGUCAGUGUGCUCGGUAGAGUAAGCUUACGACUGUACGUGGCUACUGUAGCAUUAGCUCUUUAGUCCACCGAUGAUGGUGGAUUAAAGAGUUGCACGUUGCUAAUAUUGUAUGCCUUGGCGCAAAUAGCAUCGCAGGUGUGUAAUGUUAAAAAGCAGUUUUCUACUUCUGCUAGCUCUGUACAAACCCAUAAUGCUAUCGUUAAUUGCUAACAUUGUUGAACUGAGCGCAAACACUGAAAAUCAUUUGGAUUGCUUUAUUUAUGUGUUUUAUGUAUUUCUUUGUGUCAUUGAGUUCUAUCAAAAUCUCGCGCUUCAGGGUGCCAACAAACUCCUUCAGGAUAUGGAGGUAACAUUAUUAUUUUUAAAAGUGAUGUAGUUAAACACUACUUCAAGAGGGAACACUCUUGUCUAAUUUAUUGUAGAGAGUAAAAGUUGACUUUGGUACCCCCAUUAGCACAUUUCUACAGCAUGUCCAACAUAUUACUUUUUUUCUGUGAAAUUGGCUCCAUUAACAUUUGAUGUUAAUAACAUUUACUGUUUAAUAUUUACUGUUUAACAUAACUUACUAUAUCCCUUAAAAUUCUGCUUAAAAGACUGAUUGCUGAAUGUAAGUGAGUGAUAAGUUUUAUGUACUAUACUCAUACUGUACUCUUAAUGUUACUCUCACAUAGAAAUGGAUCAGACUGAUGGCAGCCUUGAAGCACUGCAGGCACGAAUAGAGGAGCUUGUCGUCGUCAUCAUCAGAGUGCGAAAACAAAAUCUUUACAGGCAAACUGAUAGCAACAAGAGGCGACAUAGAAUUCGCAAGGUCAUCUUGGAUGAGAAAUAACGCUUGGUGCUGCUGUCGACGAUUACAACAAGCUGGCUGAACCGUCAAAGCAAAUUAUGUCCAGUGAUGCCCUCAUCCAGACCGACGUAUGGCCCUGGCAGAACACAAGUAAACCUGCUGCAGACCCUAAGACAAAAAAAGAGGUCGUUGAGAAGGUGAUGGCUGUGAGGCGCCUUUAAAGAGGAGGAGAUGAUCCUUUGCAGGGCCAGCCCAGGACAGGACAGCGCUGAAAGCACGAACUCUGGAGUUCUUUUUACAGCCUCUCUUGUUGGCAUGUUGGAGGAUGCAAAGAAGGGACUCCAUUGCCUGCUCCUAAAAAAACAAACUGAACUGAAAGCUGAAAUGCUAAAAGUCAAGGACUAUUACCAGAGAAUCCUCAGCCACCAACCACUCCUGGAAACAGACGAGGAGGAGGAGGAAAAUUCAGAGGAUGCUGCUGAGAGUGACUUCAGCACUUCUGAUGAAGAUUGAGAGUUUGUGUGUGUG